CAGCAACGUCCCCACAAACAGCCGUGAGGUGAGCGAGUGGCUGUAUCCGGGGAUUGUCGGCCCGGACACCGGGAGAGAGAGAGAGAGAGAGAGAGAAAGUCCCUUCUCUUA
Molecule: long non-coding RNA, 111 nt
Organism: Callorhinchus milii (elephant shark)
Lineage: Eukaryota; Metazoa; Chordata; Chondrichthyes; Chimaeriformes; Callorhinchidae
Exons: 3
Source: RefSeq, a predicted model, not a curated record